GGAAGCGUGGCAGAGCGGCUUAAUGCAACGGUCUUGAAAACCGUCGAGGGGGCGACCCCUCCGUGAGUUCAAAUCUCACCGCUUCCGCCA
RNAcentral lists this transfer RNA (90 nucleotides) under Chromatiales bacterium. RNAcentral's name for it is "tRNA-Ser". It matches the Rfam family "tRNA". Rfam says of the family: Transfer RNA (tRNA) molecules are approximately 80 nucleotides in length. Their secondary structure includes four short double-helical elements and three loops (D, anti-codon, and T loops). The record is from RNAcentral. Lineage: Bacteria; Pseudomonadati; Pseudomonadota; Gammaproteobacteria; Chromatiales.